GAUGAACGCUGGCGGCGUGCCUAAUACAUGCAAGUCGAGCGAACAGACGAGGAGCUUGCUCCUCUGACGUUAGCGGCGGACGGGUGAGUAACACGUGGAUAACCUACCUAUAAGACUGGGAUAACUUCGGGAAACCGGAGCUAAUACCGGAUAAUAUAUUGAACCGCAUGGUUCAAUAGUGAAAGACGGUUUUGCUGUCACUUAUAGAUGGAUCCGCGCCGCAUUAGCUAGUUGGUAAGGUAACGGCUUACCAAGGCAACGAUGCGUAGCCGACCUGAGAGGCUGAUCGGCCACACUGGAACUUGGACACGGUCCAGACUCCUACGGGAGGCAGCAGUAGGGAAUCUUCCGCAAAGGGCGAAAGCCUGACGGAGCAACGCCGCGUGAGUUAUGAAGGUCUUCGGAUCGUAAAACUCUGUUAUUAGGGAAGAACAAAUGUGUAAGUAACUAUGCACGUCUUGACGGUACCUAAUCAGAAAGCCACGGCUAACUACGUG
RNAcentral lists this ribosomal RNA (497 nucleotides) under uncultured bacterium. RNAcentral describes it as "partial 16S ribosomal RNA". It matches the Rfam family "Bacterial small subunit ribosomal RNA", at positions 28 to 507 of the family's 1533-position model. The record is from RNAcentral.